GGUCAGGAGGAGUUUUGGAUGUUUGGAAGCUGCAGCCCAGACCACACAGGCACUAGCUUGAGUUUCCCUGUCUCUAAAGGGAGUGUAUCCUCCUUAGAGAUACCAAUGAGAUCUGCAAGAAGCUUGUUCAACAGCUAGGCUGGGGUACCCAGACCAGAGAGAGACCCUGCCUCAAAAACAAUGUGGAAGGUUCUGGGACAUAGCGAUGCAUUCUGAGAAGACAUGGCUGAAGGCUCAAUCCUGAAGGUAUUGCCCAUCCAUCUCCAUACCAAGCUGGAAUUACCUCUGCUCUGGGCUUCGUAGCCCUCUGGAAUCCAUAAAAAGUCAGGGUAUCUGGCUGAGGCAAAAUUGAAUUAUUAAUCUAGUCCUGUUGUGCCACUGUUACUUUUCCAGACAAGCAGUUGAUUC
This is a long non-coding RNA of Nannospalax galili (Upper Galilee mountains blind mole rat), 408 nucleotides long. RefSeq lists it as uncharacterized. NCBI's taxonomy places the organism in Eukaryota, Metazoa, Chordata, Mammalia, Rodentia, Spalacidae. The transcript is spliced from 4 exons. The record is from RefSeq and is a predicted model, not a curated record.